UUAGUUUAUCUUUCGCGAUGGCAUUAAGAAACCAGGGGGGGGGGGGGGGAACCAAUGGCGUAAUGCCAGAUCAUUUUCUUUUUAGCGCUAUAUAAACGGGUUGCGGUCCUUCCACACUACACUAUUAAACUGAUUGGAAAGCAACUGACGUGUUGACAAUGGGCAACGGCAAAAAUAGAUUGGCGGCGGUAGCGCUAUGUUCGGUGGAUGCGAUGGCAGAGCGGCAUGUCCAUGGAACCAGCAGCGUUCUUACUAACUUCCUGUUACUUUACGUCGGAUGGAGUUAGGGAGCCAGACUGGGCUACACAAGGGUUAUCCCUAGCAACCGAUGACAACAACUAUCCUCCAUAGCACCGAGUAAUGCUAACUUUGUCAUGCCAUAGUCUUGUUAAUUAUCAUGAUUACAACCACAAUUAAAUGGAUUGUAUGCAGUCCUUUUAAUAGAACAAUAUUCACGUGUUUUUAGUUCCUUAUGUAUAUUAAUUUAUAUUAAAAAUACAAACUGAUUUGCUUUUAAUUUAAUGAACGUGUAUGAAAUAUAAAGGUAUUAUUUACACAUGUUUUUUUUCCAGUAUCAAAUUAUUGUUGUUGUCAUCAUUUCGUCAAUAAAUAUGCAUACAUGCAAACAGCU
Long non-coding RNA from Dreissena polymorpha, 631 nucleotides. RefSeq lists it as uncharacterized. The transcript has 3 exons. NCBI's taxonomy places the organism in Eukaryota, Metazoa, Mollusca, Bivalvia, Myida, Dreissenidae. The record is from RefSeq and is a predicted model, not a curated record.